GUUCGGUCCCUAUCUGUUAUGGGCGAUGGAAGUUUGAGAGGAGCUGCUUUUAGUACGAGAGGACCGAAGUGGACGAACCUCUGGUUUACCAGUUAUCCUGCCAAGGGUAAGUGCUGGGUAUCUAAGUUCGGAAGGGAUAACCGCUGAAAGCAUCUAAGCGGGAAGCCCACCUCAAGAUUAGACAUCCCUGAGACUUUAAGUCUCCUGAAGACUCCAGAGAGACUAUCUGGUUGAUAGGCUGCAGGUGUAAGUAUAGUGAUGUAUUCAGCCGAGCAGUACUAAUAAGUCGUGAGGCUUGACCAU
This 303-nucleotide ribosomal RNA is filed under the name Treponema sp. Its description in RNAcentral is "partial 23S ribosomal RNA". It matches the Rfam family "Bacterial large subunit ribosomal RNA", at positions 2629 to 2925 of the family's 2925-position model. Lineage: Bacteria; Pseudomonadati; Spirochaetota; Spirochaetia; Treponematales; Treponemataceae. The record is from RNAcentral.